RNAcentral lists this ribosomal RNA (346 nucleotides) under uncultured Aquabacterium sp. RNAcentral's name for it is "bacterial SSU rRNA". It matches the Rfam family "Bacterial small subunit ribosomal RNA", at positions 1028 to 1382 of the family's 1533-position model. The record is from RNAcentral. Lineage: Bacteria; Pseudomonadati; Pseudomonadota; Betaproteobacteria; Burkholderiales; Sphaerotilaceae.
UUGAACACAGGUGCUGCAUGGCCGUCGUCAGCUCGUGUCGUGAGAUGUUGGGUUAAGUCCCGCAACGAGCGCAACCCUUGUCAUUAGUUGCUACGAAAGGGCACUCUAAUGAGACUGCCGGUGACAAACCGGAGGAAGGUGGGGAUGACGUCAGGUCCUCAUGGCCCUUAUGGUAGGGCUACACACGUCAUACAAUGGCCGGUACAGAGGGCUGCCAACCCGCAGGGGGAGCCAAUCCCAGAAAACCGGUCGUAGUCCGGAUCGCAGUCUGCAACUCGACUGCGUGAAGUCGGAAUCGCUAGUAAUCGCGGAUCAGCUUGCCGCGGUGAAUACGUUCCCGGGUCUU